Molecule: ribosomal RNA, 472 nt
Filed under: uncultured bacterium
Lineage: Bacteria
Description: bacterial SSU rRNA
Rfam family: Bacterial small subunit ribosomal RNA
Source: RNAcentral
UGGGGAAUUUUUCGCAAUGGGCGCAAGCCUGACGAAGCAACGCCGCGUGGAGGAUGAAGGUCUUCGGAUUGUAAACUCCUGUCGACCGGGACGAAUGCACUCGACCUAAUACGUCGAGCUGUUGACGGUACCGGUGGAGGAAGCCACGGCUAACUCUGUGCCAGCAGCCGCGGUAAUACAGAGGUGGCAAGCGUUGUUCGGAAUUACUGGGCGUAAAGGGCGCGUAGGCGGCCUUGUAAGUCUCGUGUGAAAGCCCUCGGCUUAACUGAGGAUCUGCACGGGAUACUGUAAGGCUCGAGUUCGGGAGAGGAAAGCGGAAUUCCGGGUGUAGCGGUGAAAUGCGUAGAUAUCCGGAGGAACACCAGUGGCGAAGGCGGCUUUCUGGACCGACACUGACGCUGAGGCGCGAAAGCUAGGGGAGCAAACGGGAUUAGAUACCCUCGUAGUCCCUGAGCGGGCUGGCAAGGCGCAU